Molecule: RNA transcript, 1203 nt
Organism: Gordionus sp. m RMFG-2023
Lineage: Eukaryota; Metazoa; Nematomorpha; Gordioida; Chordodea; Parachordodidae
Gene name: protein rogdi-like
Exons: 12
Source: RefSeq, a predicted model, not a curated record
AUCACCACUCACAAGUCAUGUGUCUUUGUUGCUUUUAACAAAACUACGAAACGAUGAUCGAUAGAAACUUGAUAAAUGAAUAUGAAUGGUUUUUAAAAGAGGAUACUAACAAAAGCUUAAAAUAUCUUCUUUCAUUAAUAAAAGAAUGUGGUAAAAUAUAUCCUUUGCAUCUAUGGGACAAUGAAAACUACUCAAAACCACUUAUUUACCAUUUAAUAAGUGAAAACAUAGAUUGCUCCUUAACCAUUAUGGGUGACAAUAUUCAACAAAUGGAGCUAAAAAUUAAUCCUCAUUUAAAUAAUCAAACACAAUAUACCAUAUCAUCAAAUCCUAUUAAUUUAAAUAUACAACCUGAUUUACCAUGGAAACUUCAACAAGUUCAAGAUUCAUCUAAUUUUCUCUACCUCUCAUAUGAAUAUUUGAGAAAUAUAAUAGAUCAAAAUAUUACCUUUACUACAAUCACUGAUUUAAUGAGAAUUAUAGAUGACAUGUAUAUAUAUUUGGUAAAAGGGAGGGAUUCUUUAUUAUUACCAAGAAGAAAAAAUUUUGAAGAGAUAUCUUCAUCCCCUACUAUGAAAAUUUUAAAAAAUUAUUUGCCAAAAGGUGUUGAUAUUAGUUUUUAUCUAAAUGGUUCCAGACUUACAUUAGCUUUAUAUGUUGCACCAAAACCUGGAGAAAUAAAUACCACAUUAAAGAAUAACCUAAGCUAUCCUAAUUAUCAUAUUUCUCAAGUGGACCACGAAAUAAUAUGGGUAUCGACAGUUAUCGAUUCAUAUGAAAAAAUCAUAGCCUUUUGUGAUAAAUUUGCCAACAAGGUUCUAUUAGGCUUUAACCCAGACGAAUACACCGCAGGGUUGGGAGGGGGAGGCAUAAACACGAAAUUGCCUAGCAUCUAACCGAUUACACCCUAAGCUGCUUUAAAAUAUUCAGAAAAAGGAGCAUUUAUUUAAAAAAAAUGUGUCCACGUUUUCAAGUCAAUUCUAAAAGAAGCUUUCUUAAUGAUUGGACUAUAAUUUAAAUAUUAUUUAUUCAACUUGUAAUUAUUUUAGUUAUUAUUAAAACAUUUAUUUGUAAUUUUUAAAAAUUAUUUAUAUAUUGCUGAUGCUUUCAGGACGUUUUAUUUUUUUGUUGUAUUCUCUGAGCAAAAAUCAUAUAACAAUGAAUGCUUGAUCUAUUAUCAAAUAUAAUAAACAUCAUAAUUUU